Anguilla anguilla (European eel) is the source of this 1515-nucleotide RNA transcript. It is a transcript of the gene named sphingosine-1-phosphate phosphatase 2, with no coding region annotated. NCBI's taxonomy places the organism in Eukaryota, Metazoa, Chordata, Actinopteri, Anguilliformes, Anguillidae. The transcript is spliced from 7 exons. The record is from RefSeq and is a predicted model, not a curated record.
CGCGCUGGGGGACAGAGAAAACAGACGAGUCGAAAAUAUUGAAAUAAUAAGGCUCCUCGCGCGUCAUCAAAACAUCGCAGACAAAGGGUUUCUUUUCAUUGAAUUUAAAGCUGCACAAUGAGGUUAAAUUCCAGUUUCCGAGAAAGGGUAAAGUUCAAAGGAUGCUCUUCCUUACCACAAAACGUCACUGUAUAUACUGUACCGAACAUACAAAAAGUCGAGGACGAGCAUCGGCGCGCUUGUGACCAAGCGCGCUUGACCGAGGAUUACAGAAACCACGACACGAACAGCAACGCGGCGCUGCCUCGCAGUCGGCGUGGAAAUGGCCAUCUACAGGGACAGCUGAUUGGCGCAGAAGACCACAGCGGCAGCUCUAAUUACAAAGAUGAAGUGAAUGGAAACAAAGUGGAUGCUCCGUCUGGCCCUCAGUACCAGGUGAGGAAUGUGCUCCUGUACUACCUGUUCCUGGUGUCUGCAGGCCUGGGACAGGAAGUCUUCUACAUCUCCUUCCUGCCCUGCAUCCACUGGAACCUUGACCCCUUCCUGUGCCGCCGGCUGAUCAACAUGUGGACCGUGGUGAUGUACAUCGGCCAGGUGUUGAAGGAUAUGCUGAAGAUGCCACGGCCUCUGUCGCCCCCUGUGGUGAAGUUGGAGACGCGCGUGAAUGCGGAAUACGGAAUGCCUUCCACCCACGCCAUGGCAGCCACCGCCAUCUUCUUCACCUUCCUCUUCAGCGCCACCCACAGGUUCCAGUUCCAGUUUGAGUCGGGGCUGCUGUUGGCUGUGGUGCUGUCUGCCCUGGUGUGUCUCAGCCGUCUGUACACAGGCAUGCACUCUGCACUGGACGUUAUUGGGGGAGCCCUGAUUUCAGUGCUGCUGAUGCUGCUUACCUACCCAGCGUGGGACGCUUUCGACCGGCUGCAGCUAACAAGCCCGCUCUCCCCCGUGGUGUCAGUGGUACUGCCCUUUCUCCUCAGCUACAGCUACCCCGAGUUGGACCAUUACAGCACCACGCGGGGGGACACCACCACCAUCCUGGGGGUGGGCGCCGGCUGCUCGGCCGGGUACUGGGUGAACGAGCAACUCGGGGAGACCUUCGAGCCCCAGGGGGACUUCCCCAUCCCCCUCCCGCCGCUGACCUGGGGGGCGCUGCUUUUGGGGGGGACGCGCUCCCUGAUGGGCGUGGCUCUGCUGCUGGGCACACGGCACGUGGUGAAGAGUGCCAGCUUGUGGGCACUGUGCUCCUGGCACCAGGCAUGUGCCAGCGAUGCCCGCACGCGCAGGCGCAGAGAGAUCGAGGUGCCCUACAAGUUCACCACCUACACGGUGGUGGGCCUGGUCAACACGGUCCUGCUCAACAAAGCCUUCCGGCUCCUGGGCCUGCUCUGAGACAGGCCUCCUGCCUGAACACUCAGCCAGAACUGCGCCUGAACACUAACCCAGAAAACUCGACUGUGCCUGAACACUCAGCCAGAAACACGACUGCGCCUGAACACUAACCCAGAAACACGACUG